This 252-nucleotide ribosomal RNA is filed under the name uncultured Bacteroidales bacterium. RNAcentral describes it as "partial 16S ribosomal RNA". It matches the Rfam family "Bacterial small subunit ribosomal RNA", at positions 524 to 776 of the family's 1533-position model. Lineage: Bacteria; Pseudomonadati; Bacteroidota; Bacteroidia; Bacteroidales. The record is from RNAcentral.
UACGGAGGAUGCGAGCGUUAUCCGGAUUUAUUGGGUUUAAAGGGUGCGUAGGCGGUAUGGUAAGUCAGCGGUAAAAGCCCGGGGCUCAACCCCGGCGAGCCGUUGAAACUGCCGUGCUAGAGAGGAAGAGAAGUAGGCGGAAUGCGCAGUGUAGCGGUGAAAUGCUUAGAUAUAACUUAGAACUCCGAUAGCGAAGGCAGCUUACCAGACUGCGACUGACGCUGAAGCACGAGAGCGUGGGUAGCGAACAGG